AAUGGACGGGACAAAGGAUCGCGAUCCCGCGAGGGUGAGCUAACUCCAAAAACCCGUCCUCAGUUCGGAUUGUAGGCUGCAACUCGCCUNCAUGAAG
Vigna radiata var. radiata (mung bean) is the source of this 97-nucleotide non-coding RNA. NCBI's taxonomy places the organism in Eukaryota, Viridiplantae, Streptophyta, Magnoliopsida, Fabales, Fabaceae. The record is from Rfam.